Mytilus trossulus (common blue mussel) is the source of this 355-nucleotide long non-coding RNA. RefSeq lists it as uncharacterized. The record is from RefSeq and is a predicted model, not a curated record. NCBI's taxonomy places the organism in Eukaryota, Metazoa, Mollusca, Bivalvia, Mytilida, Mytilidae. The transcript has 2 exons.
GCUGUGUAUAAAACGUUUGUUAUAGGAAAUGCUGCGUCAAAAUACAAACUUACUGUUGCUGAUUAUUCUGGAACUGCAGGUGAUAAUUUAAAAUUUCACAAUGGUAUGAAAUUUACUACAGUUUACCAGGAUAACGAUACACAAAAAAAUAAUUGUGCAGUAUUAAACACGGGAGCCUGGUGGUAUCAAGCUUGUUCCUAUUGUGAUCUCACUCGUACUGAUAAAAAACCGUUUUGGUACCAUAAAUUUAUAUCGAAAUCUGUUAUGAUGAUAAGAAAAAUUUAAGGUCAAUUGUAUUCAUUAUAACAGUGGUAACAUCAUUCUAUAUAUUUUCUUCAAUAAAACAUUAGGCUAA